RNAcentral lists this ribosomal RNA (459 nucleotides) under uncultured bacterium. Its description in RNAcentral is "partial 16S ribosomal RNA". It matches the Rfam family "Bacterial small subunit ribosomal RNA", at positions 338 to 795 of the family's 1533-position model. The record is from RNAcentral.
CCUACGGGUGGCAGCAGUGAGGAAUAUUGGACAAUGGGCGCGAGCCUGAACCAGCAAAGUCGCGUGAGUGAAGACGGUCCUAUGGAUUGUAAACCUCUUUUGUCGGGGAGCAAAAGACGCCACGCGUGGCGUUCCGAGAGUACCGGAAGAAAAAGCAUCGGCUAACUCCGUGCCAGCAGCCGCGGUAAUACGGGGGGUGCGAGCGGUGUCCGGAUUGAUUGGGUUGAAGGGGUGCGCAGGAGGAAGAUCAAUUCAGCGGUAAAAUUGAGAGGUUCAACCUCUUCGAGCCGUUGAAACUGGGUGUCUUGAGUGAGCGAGAAGUAUGCGGAAUGCGUGGUGUAGCGGUGAAAUGCAUAGAUAUAACGAAGAACUCCGAUUGCGAAGGCAGCAUACCGGCGCUCAACUGACGCUCAUGCACGAAAGUGUGGGUAUCGAACAGGAUUAGAUACCCGUGUAGUC